CCCCUCUCAGGGUCACACCUGGAGAGUUUCCAGUACUCUACCAGUCUCAAUUGCGGGAGGGAGAGUCAAGCGCAGACAUAUCCAUUCCAUUCCUAGCUUGGGCAGUGGCUAGCGAGUGGAAGGCAAUAUGCUACAAGU
Molecule: small nucleolar RNA, 138 nt
Organism: Tachyglossus aculeatus (Australian echidna)
Lineage: Eukaryota; Metazoa; Chordata; Mammalia; Monotremata; Tachyglossidae
Source: RefSeq, a predicted model, not a curated record